Molecule: ribosomal RNA, 497 nt
Filed under: uncultured bacterium
Lineage: Bacteria
Description: partial 16S ribosomal RNA
Rfam family: Bacterial small subunit ribosomal RNA
Source: RNAcentral
GAUGAACGCUGGCGGCGUGCCUAAUACAUGCAAGUCGAGCGAACAGAUGAGGAGCUUGCUCCUCUGACGUUAGCGGCGGACGGGUGAGUAACACGUGGAUAACCUACCUAUAAGACUGGGAUAACUUCGGGAAACCGGAGCUAAUACCGGAUAAUAUAUUGAACCGCAUGGUUCAAUAGUGAAAGACGGUCUUGCUGUCACUUAUAGAUGGAUCCGCGCCGCAUUAGCUAGUUGGUAAGGUAACGGCUUACCAAGGCAACGAUGCGUAGCCGACCUGAGAGGGUGAUCGGCCACACUGGAACUGAGACACGGUCCAGACUCCUACGGGAGGCAGCAGUAGGGAAUCUUCCGCAAUGGGCGAAAGCCUGACGGAGCAACGCCGCGUGAGUGAUGAAGGUCUUCGGAUCGUAAAACUCUGUUAUUAGGGAAGAACAAAUGUGUAAGUAACUGUGCACAUCUUGACGGUACCUAAUCAGAAAGCCACGGCUAACUACGUG